Molecule: ribosomal RNA, 301 nt
Filed under: uncultured bacterium
Lineage: Bacteria
Description: partial 16S ribosomal RNA
Rfam family: Bacterial small subunit ribosomal RNA
Source: RNAcentral
CAGCCGCCGCGGGAAUACGAAGGGGGCUAGCGUUGCUCGGAAUGACUGGGCGUAAAGGGCGCGUAGGCGGCGGCCAAAGUCAGGCGUGAAAUUCCCGGGCUCAACCCGGGGGCUGCGUUUGAUACUUGGUUGCUUGAGUGGGGAAGAGGGUCGUGGAAUUCCCAGUGUAGAGGUGAAAUUCGUAGAUAUUGGGAAGAACACCGGUGGCGAAGGCGGCGACCUGGUCCUUUACUGACGCUGAGGCGCGAAAGCGUGGGGAGCAAACAGGAUUAGAUACCCGGGUAGUCCCUGUCUCUUAUAC